CACUGGGACUUGUGGAAGCUGUAUUUUCAGCCAGCUGUGACUCACUGUUCUGAAACUGGAGAGCAUUCGAGCCACCAGUGAGUUCAUCUUUAGGCAAGGCUUCCUUGAAGAAAAUUUUUGCUGCAUCCUCAUGAUGCUGGAACUCUAUUAUCCGUGCAGUACAACAGUUCAAUUCAUCUUGAUUUUUCUGUUGCUUUGCUGAUGAGGCAUGUUAAGAAUCACUCCAGUCCCAUGCCAAAGUUCCUGUCAUUCA
Molecule: long non-coding RNA, 253 nt
Organism: Pezoporus occidentalis (night parrot)
Lineage: Eukaryota; Metazoa; Chordata; Aves; Psittaciformes; Psittacidae
Exons: 3
Source: RefSeq, a predicted model, not a curated record